Molecule: small nucleolar RNA, 76 nt
Filed under: Scheffersomyces stipitis CBS 6054
Lineage: Eukaryota; Fungi; Ascomycota; Pichiomycetes; Serinales; Debaryomycetaceae
Source: RNAcentral
CUUUAUGAUGAUCGUUUCACUACAUCUGUCCCGGUGAACCCUGAGCCAUGGAUAAAACAUGCAUCACCAUCUGACU